RNAcentral lists this ribosomal RNA (253 nucleotides) under uncultured bacterium. RNAcentral describes it as "partial 16S ribosomal RNA". It matches the Rfam family "Bacterial small subunit ribosomal RNA", at positions 524 to 776 of the family's 1533-position model. The record is from RNAcentral.
UACAGAGACUGCGAGCGUUAUUCGGAUUCACUGGGCGUAAAGGGUGCGCAGGCGGCCAAGUGUGUUAGGCGUGAAAGCCCGAGGCUUAACCUCGGAAUUGCACCUAAAACUACUUGGCUAGAGUACUGGAGAGGGAAACGGAAUUCACGGUGUAGCAGUGAAAUGCGUAGAUAUCGUGAGGAACACCAGAGGCGAAGGCGGUUUCCUGGACAGUUACUGACGCUCAGGCACGAAAGCAUGGGGAGCAAAAGGG